GAGUUGGUAUCUCAGUGGUAGAGUACAUGCUCUGCAUGUAUGAGGGGUUCAAUUCCCAGCUUCUCG
This is a non-coding RNA of Dallia pectoralis (Alaska blackfish), 66 nucleotides long. NCBI's taxonomy places the organism in Eukaryota, Metazoa, Chordata, Actinopteri, Esociformes, Umbridae. The record is from the annotation of a GenBank genome assembly.